UAGAACCUGAAACGGUAUACGUACAUUCAGUGGGAGCCACUUCGUGUGGUGACUGCGUACCUUUUGUAUAAUGGGUCAGCGACUUAUAUUCAGUGGCGAGGUUAACCGUAUAGGGGAGCCGUAGGGAAACCGAGUCUUAAUAGGGCGCAUUAGUAUCAUGUCGUAGACCCGAAACCAUGUGACCUACCCAUGAGCAGGUUGAAGGUGAGGUAAAACUCACUGGAGGACCGAACCA
RNAcentral lists this ribosomal RNA (235 nucleotides) under Mucochytrium quahogii. RNAcentral describes it as "labyrinthulid quahog parasite QPX partial Bacterial large subunit ribosomal RNA". It matches the Rfam family "Bacterial large subunit ribosomal RNA", at positions 544 to 781 of the family's 2925-position model. The record is from RNAcentral. Lineage: Eukaryota; Bigyra; Thraustochytrida; Thraustochytriidae.